RNAcentral lists this ribosomal RNA (1379 nucleotides) under Moneuplotes crassus. Its description in RNAcentral is "eukaryotic LSU rRNA". It matches the Rfam family "Eukaryotic large subunit ribosomal RNA", at positions 1 to 1373 of the family's 3401-position model. Lineage: Eukaryota; Ciliophora; Spirotrichea; Euplotida; Euplotidae. The record is from RNAcentral.
CAUAUCUGAAGUCAAGCAAGAGCACGCGCAUGAACUUAAGCAUAUCACUAAGCGCAGGUAAAAGAAAAAUAACUAUGAUUGCCUCAGUAACGGCGAGUGAAGCGGCAAUAGCCCAAGAUGAGAACCGCAGCCCUUCGGGCUCGCGGGUUGUAAUCUAAAGAGCAGUCACUGACUGGCUUUGCUGACGCCCAAGUGUCUUGGAAUAGACCGCCAGGGAGGGUGAAAGCCCCGUACGGUGUCGGGAGAGCGCUAGGUGGCCGCUUGAAGAGUCGAGUUGUUCGGGACUGCAGCUCUAAGUGGGAGGUAGACUUCUCCUAAGGCUCAAUAACUAUGAGAGACCGAUAGCGAACAAGUAAUGUGAAUGAAAGGUGAAAAUAUAUUUUUCCUUCCGUAAGAACUUUGAAUGAACAAAACAGAAUUAAACAGACCUGAAACCGUUGAGGUGGAAGCGAUAGGAAGUUUACAUUUGGCCCGGAGCUAGCAAAGCGGGUUCGCCUGCGAGUUUGCUCCUGGUCGAAACGGUCGCUCGGCUUUGCGCGCCUCAUAAACCCCCCCGGGCAAGGGCUUCGGCACCACUCUGGGGGAGCCUGUUGCGUGCGARGUCGARGGACUUUURAUGUUUAUCCUACCGACCCGUCUUGAAACACGGACCAAGGAGUCUAACAUAUAUGCGAUUAUGUUGGUGUUGUUAAMCCAUACAUGAGCAAUGAAAGUAAGCGGUGCCAACCGUAAGGUGCAGCAUCGGCCAGUUGUGAUCCUCUGGAGAAGCGUACUGGCUGUGAGCAUAUCUGUUAGGACCCGAAAGAUGGUGAACUACGCUUGGGUAGGGUGAAGCCAGGGGAAACUCUUGUGGAAGCCCGAAGCGGUACUGACGUGCAAAUCGUUCGUCAAACUUGAGUGUAGGGGCGAAAGACUAAUCGAACCAUCUAGUAGCUGGUUCCCUCCGAAGUUUCUCUCAGGAUAGCAAGCACAGUUAAAGCAGUUUUUUUGUAUUUUCUCAAUUAGGUAAAGAAUCAAUGAUUAGAAGCAUCUGGGGGCUUUAUUAGUGUUCUCGACUUAGUUCUCAAACUCUAAAUAUUUGUAAUAACUCGGUAUUCCUUAACUGAAGAUCGAGGCAGAAUGCUUGUGCUUAGUGGGCCAUUUUUGGUAAGCAGAACUGGCGAUGAGGGAUGCUCCUAACGUCGAGUUAAGGUGCCCAACUGCACGCUCAUCAGAAACUACAAAGGGUGUUGGUUCAUCCAGACAGCAGGACGGUGGCCAUGGAAGUCGGAACCCGCUAAGGAGUGUGUAACAACUCACCUGCCGAAUGGACUAGCCCCGAAAAUGGAUGGCGCUCAAGCGUGCGACCCGAUCUCGACCAUUGUAGCGAGAGUGAGGCU